GCUCGGAUAGCUCAGUUGGUUAGAGCGUGGUGUUGAUAACACCAAGGUUGCAGGUUCAAUCCCUGUGUCGGACA
This is a non-coding RNA of Podarcis lilfordi (Lilford's wall lizard), 74 nucleotides long. The record is from the annotation of a GenBank genome assembly. NCBI's taxonomy places the organism in Eukaryota, Metazoa, Chordata, Lepidosauria, Squamata, Lacertidae.